AUAGCAAUAUUGGAGUGGCGCACGGGUGAGUAACACGUAGCUAAUCUACCUCAAAGCGCGGGAUAACGUGUCGAAAGACAGGCUAAUACCGCAUAAGCUCGCGAUCUGUAGAGGGUUGCGAGAAAAGGCGCAAGUCACUUUGAGAUGAGGCUGCGGCCCAUCAGCUAGUUGGGGUGGUAAAAGCACACCAAGGCGACGACGGGUAGGGGACCUGAGAGGGUGACUCCCCACACUGGGACUGAGACACGGCCCAGACUCCUACGGGAGGCAGCAGUGAGGAAUAUUGCACAAUGGGCGCAAGCCUGAUGCAGCGACGCCGCGUGGGUGAAGAAGGUUUUCGGA
Molecule: ribosomal RNA, 342 nt
Filed under: uncultured bacterium
Lineage: Bacteria
Description: bacterial SSU rRNA
Rfam family: Bacterial small subunit ribosomal RNA
Source: RNAcentral